UUUCAAAUCAAAUCUCUUUCCAAAACCGAUCAUGUAACAUCCAAAAUCACUUUAUUAGACUUCGGUAGGAUCGUGCAUCCGGAAAAACACCACCCAUUCCCUUCCCUUGGUGUGCCUGCCCAGCAUUUUUUAAUUUUACCGACAAGAACAAACUAUUUCCAAUAUUCUCUUUUCUCCCCUUUUAUCUUCUCAAAAUUUUCGCCCUCCGUAAACAUAGUAUUAGGGUUUAUAUGUGACUUCUGGAAAUUAAAAAAAUACCGCUUGAUAACUGCCCAGCUAUCAGCUGCCGGCGGCUCAAUGGUCGGAUUUUAUUUUUGCAUUACUCAUUGAAGUCUCUUAUUAUUUUUCUUGUGCUAUUCAACCCUUGAAGCAGAUAGUGAUUAAGUAUAUGCUCUACCGAUUUCUUCAAUUUCUAAGGUAUGCCUCUUUUAUCUUUCAGUUUCUAUUAACUCCAUGAAAUUGAAUGUAUCACUUCCUUUCAUAUAUUUGUUGAUUGAUUUAUUCAAUGAGAUAAAACAGAGAUGAUUUUCUCUGGUGAAGGACAAAGAUUUUUUUUUUUUUUUUU
This 565-nucleotide unclassified non-coding RNA is filed under the name Hevea brasiliensis (rubber tree). The record is from RNAcentral. Lineage: Eukaryota; Viridiplantae; Streptophyta; Magnoliopsida; Malpighiales; Euphorbiaceae.